AACAUAAGUGAAGCUAGGAAGGGCUUUCUGGUUGCUGAUUCAGACCAGAAGACCAAGACCUUCUGAACACCAGAUCUGAAGAUAGCAAUCAGUGAAAGAUGUUUUGAGGACCUUUACAGUGUGAACUGGAUUCCACAAUGCAAAUGAGAACUCUGUGAACCCCUGGAAAGGCAUGCCCAUAACUUGGGGGUUAAGUAUCCCUCCCUCUUCCUUACAACAGCAAACAACUCUUUUGGAGCCAAGUACCUUCCCUCUGUGUGCGUGACUCUUGAAUUCUCUCCGCGAGUAUAAAAUUCUUCAUAUACAAUGAUAAAACUGAGGCGGGCUCUGCC
This 332-nucleotide long non-coding RNA is filed under the name Mus pahari (shrew mouse). RNAcentral's name for it is "lncRNA (MGP_PahariEiJ_G0006343.1)". Lineage: Eukaryota; Metazoa; Chordata; Mammalia; Rodentia; Muridae. The record is from RNAcentral.